GAAGCUGUAUGAUUAUUC
Molecule: small nuclear RNA, 18 nt
Filed under: Arabidopsis thaliana (thale cress)
Lineage: Eukaryota; Viridiplantae; Streptophyta; Magnoliopsida; Brassicales; Brassicaceae
Description: snRNA_03905
Source: RNAcentral